RNAcentral lists this ribosomal RNA (383 nucleotides) under uncultured eukaryote. Its description in RNAcentral is "partial 18S ribosomal RNA". It matches the Rfam family "Eukaryotic small subunit ribosomal RNA", at positions 592 to 976 of the family's 1831-position model. The record is from RNAcentral.
CAAUAGCGUAUAUUAAAGUUGUUGCAGUUAAAAAGCUCGUAGUUGGAUUUCUGGUGGGAGCGAUCGGUCUGGCGCUUAGCGCGAGUACUUGCAUCGUCUCCGGCCAUCCUUGGGGAGAGUCUGUCUGGCAUUAAGUUGUCGGGCAGAGGAUCCUCAUCGUUUACUGUGAAAAAAUUAGAGUGUUCAAAGCAGGCUUAUGCCGUUGAAUAUAUUAGCAUGGAAUAAUAAGGUAGGACUUUGGUACUAUUUUGUUGGUUUGCGCACCAAAGUAAUGAUUAAUAGGGACAGUUGGGGGUAUUCGUAUUCCGUUGUCAGAGGUGAAAUUCUUGGAUUUACGGAAGACGAACUACUGCGAAAGCAUUUACCAAGGAUGUUUUCAUUAA